GUUAUGUAGCAUAUUUCUGCGCAACACAUUGCGUUAGUGAGAGGGGGGAAAGCAAAAUAUUGUUGCAAAAACGCCCCCGCACUAACCAACAGUAACAGGAACGGGACAAAAAGAAAAAGAGGACAGGUGCGUAACGAUACCGCAUACAAAAACUUUUGCUUGUUUCCUCUUCGGGAAACUCAUUCAAUGUUCUAUCACAGAACUGGAUAGUGUAUACACAUAAGCACACACACACACACACACAAACAGCAGCGCAUGAGAGAAGCAAAGAGAGCAGCCGACUGGGAGUAAUCAUCAGAGAGGGAGAGAGAGCACAGCGCGUAACUGUGCCGCUAUUUGAUUUUAUACACAAUUUGUUUCAUUAUUCUUCAGUUGCUGUUGCGGCUGCUGGUGCUAUUGGUAUUGUUGUUGCUGUUAAUGGAAACAUGUUCUGCAUUUGAAUUAAAAUUCAAUGGCUUCGUAUUCGGCACAGUUGCUAAUUAAAGCACGCAUUUACCAGUAAUAUGUUAGAAUGCUGUUCGCGUGCCAGUACUGAAGUGGCUGCUGAAUGAAAAAGGUGGCAACUGCAAAAAGCGACAAAGGGCACACUUCCAUGGUAUGGCCACGAUAGUCAGGCAACUGCAACAAGAGCAGGGAAUCGCAAUGGGUUCGUGUGUUUAUGCUAAACACAUUUUAAACUACCCAGUGACAUGCAACGGCAGCGAUGACGUCUACUAAGCAGAAAAUGUGGGCGGCAGGUGGCGCAUAUUCAUUUAUUUUCUUUGCUUUCUUUAUAAAAAUAUACAAACGGCAGAACAACAGUCAUUUGUUGGUUCAAAAUAUAUGAAUAAUUGAA
This is a long non-coding RNA of Drosophila montana, 835 nucleotides long. RefSeq lists it as uncharacterized. Lineage: Eukaryota; Metazoa; Arthropoda; Insecta; Diptera; Drosophilidae. The transcript is spliced from 2 exons. The record is from RefSeq and is a predicted model, not a curated record.